CCGAAUCGUAGUCCGGAUUGCAGUCUGCAACUCGACUGCAUGAAGUCGGAAUCGCUAGUAAUCGCGGAUCAGCAUGCCGCGGUGAAUACGUUCCCGGGUCUUGUACACACCGCCCGUCAAACAAUGGGAGUGGUGUUUACCAGAAGUCGUUAGCCUAACCGCAAGGAGGGCGGCGACCACGGUGAGCACCGUGACUAAUGUUAAGUCGUAACAAGGUAAC
This 220-nucleotide ribosomal RNA is filed under the name uncultured bacterium. RNAcentral's name for it is "partial 16S ribosomal RNA". It matches the Rfam family "Bacterial small subunit ribosomal RNA", at positions 1281 to 1500 of the family's 1533-position model. The record is from RNAcentral.